CCAACAGGGAUUGCCCUAGUAACGGCGAGUGAAGCGGCAACAGCUCAAAUUUGAAAUCUGGCUCUUUCAGAGUCCGAGUUGUAAUUUGCAGAGGGCGCUUUGGCUUUGGCAGCGGUCCAAGUUCCUUGGAACAGGACGUCACAGAGGGUGAGAAUCCCGUACGUGGUCGCUAGCUAUUGCCGUGUAAAGCCCCUUCGACGAGUCGAGUUGUUUGGGAAUGCAGCUCUAAAUGGGAGGUAAAUUUCUUCUAAAGCUAAAUAUUGGCCAGAGACCGAUAGCGCACAAGUAGAGUGAUCGAAAGAUGAAAAGCACUUUGGAAAGAGAGUCAAACAGCACGUGAAAUUGUUGAAAGGGAAGCGCUUGCAGCCAGACUUGCUUGCAGUUGCUCAUCCGGGCUUUUGCCCGGUGCACUCUUCUGCAGGCAGGCCAGCAUCAGUUUGGGCGGUGGGAUAAAGGUCUCUGACACGUUCCUUCCUUCGGGUUGGCCAUAUAGGGGAGACGUCAUACCACCAGCCUGGACUGAGGUCCGCGCAUCUGCUAGGAUGCUGGCGUAAUGGCUGUAAGCGGCCCGUCUUGAAACACGGACCAAGGAGUCUAACAUCUAUGCGAGUGUUUGGGUGUCAAGCCCGAGCGCGUAAUGAAAGUGAACGGAGGUGGGAACCCGCAAGGGCGCACCAUCGACCGAUCCUGAAGUUUACGGAAGGAUUUGAGUAAGAGCAUGGCUGUUGGGACCCGAAAGAUGGUGAACUAUGCUUGAAUAGGGUGAAGCCAGAGGAAACUCUGGUGGAGGCUCGCAGCGGUUCUGACGUGCAAAUCGAUCGUCAAAUUUGGGCAUAGGGGCGAAAGACUAAUCGAACUAU
Molecule: ribosomal RNA, 860 nt
Filed under: Curvularia muehlenbeckiae
Lineage: Eukaryota; Fungi; Ascomycota; Dothideomycetes; Pleosporales; Pleosporaceae
Description: eukaryotic LSU rRNA
Rfam family: Eukaryotic large subunit ribosomal RNA
Source: RNAcentral